AGAAUCAACGCUGGCGGCGUGCCUAACACAUGCAAGUCGAACGCGAAAGUCCCGCAAGGGAUGAGUAGAGUGGCAAACGGGUGAGUAACACGUGGGUGACCUGCCCUCGAGCGAGGGAUAACGUCCCGAAAGGGACGCUAAUACCGCAUGACAUCCUGCCUUUGAACAGGCGGAGAUCAAAAGCCGGGGACCGCAAGGCCUGGCGCUUGAAGAGGAGCCCGCGUCCGAUUAGCUAGUUGGCGGGGUAACGGCCCACCAAGGCGACGAUCGGUA
RNAcentral lists this ribosomal RNA (273 nucleotides) under uncultured bacterium. RNAcentral describes it as "partial small subunit ribosomal RNA". It matches the Rfam family "Bacterial small subunit ribosomal RNA", at positions 26 to 285 of the family's 1533-position model. The record is from RNAcentral.